GGAGUUAGCCGGUGCUUCUUCUGUGAGUGAUGUCCUUCCUGCCGGUUAUUGACCCGCAGGCCUUCUUCCUCACUGAAAGUGCUUUACAACCCGAAGGCCUUCUUCACACACGCGGCAUGGCUGGAUCAGGGUUGCCCCCAUUGUCCAAUAUUCCCCACUGCUGCCUCCCGUAGGAGUCUGGGCCGUGUCUCAGUCCCAGUGUGGCUGAUCAUCCUCUCAGACCAGCUACGGAUCGUCGCCUUGGUGAGCCGUUACCUCACCAACCAGCUAAUCCGACAUAGGCUCAUCCGAUAGCGCGAGGCCCGAAGGUCCCCCGCUUUCCCCCGUAGGGCGUAUGCGGUAUUAGCCUGGGUUUCCCCAGGUUAUCCCCCACUACCGGGCAGAUUCCUAUGCAUUACUCACCCGUCCGCCGCUCGCCACCAGGGAGCAAGCUCCCCGUGCUGCCGCUCGACUUGCAUGUGUUAGGCCUGCCGCCAGCGUUCAAUCUGANCAUAAUACAACUACUGA
This 507-nucleotide ribosomal RNA is filed under the name uncultured bacterium. Its description in RNAcentral is "partial 16S ribosomal RNA". The record is from RNAcentral.